GCUAUUUCAUUUUACCCCUCAUUAACCCACACAGUUUAAAACCUGCCUGUACAUCACCCAUAUUAAUACUUAUAUCUAUUCAACAUUUAAUCUUCGUGGCUGAUCCAGUCUUCUCUCUUUACAGAAAGCCACGAGCACCAGCACAGAACAUUUUUCGGCGGUUCUACUCGCACUAAUGGUUUCACUGCAAAAGCGCUAAUCACAUUAUGUCCCAUCGCCUCUUGAAGUGGCAUAAUAAAGAACAUACGAUCGCAGUGACUACAGCCAGGUUAAGGGCCCUUGUUGAAAGAAAACAAAUGAUGUAUGUGUUUGGCAUUCCAUGGAAAGUUUUUUAUGCUCUUCUUUUGUGCCCCCGAGGUUGUGUUUCCAUAAUGAGCACGCGCUUCCAAGCGUCAGACAGGAGCUAUAGCUUAAGCAGAACGUACGCAAUGGAAUACCCACGAACGAAAAGUAACGCCCACAUUCAUUACCAGCGGUCGUCUUUCUUCCUGGAACUUCCACUUUCGUAACGCUUCCACGACAAAGAGGCAGCACCUUACGUGAGCCCAGCUUCGCCACUAUCAUUAGAGGAAAGUGACGACCGGUGACGGCGCUUCUGCUGCGAUGUGACGUCUCGAAAACCUACGCAUCGUGGGUUACCUCGCGUUGUCGCUUGCAUGUCAUUACAGUCCAGUGUAUAUAUACAGCCAGCUCCAUUUGCAACGUACAAAACAGCUCUUUGGCUCGUUGCACAGUGAAGCUUUACUCUUCAGGGCAGAAGCAGACGGAUAAUCAUGAAGGCUGUGCUGUGUUUGCUGGUCAUUUGCCUCAUACUGGCCACUGCUGUAGCAAUUAAGGGCUUCGGCCACAAAGGCGGCUUUGGCGGCGGACAUGGCCACGGAGGAGGAUACGGACACGGAGGAGGAUUUGGCCAUGGAGGUGGUUUCGGCGGUCAUGGUGGCAAGUUUGGCAAGUUCCACGGAUAGUCACCAACAGCUCAUCAUGCACUCGACACAAUUUCUUCAAACGUGCGGCGACCAGAGCGCCCGAACAGCCGGCAAACGAAGAAGAGUACAAAACGCGCAAUAUAUUUCGGAAUAAAAUUUCCUUGCCUUUCUCUGA
This is a long non-coding RNA of Dermacentor andersoni, 1101 nucleotides long. RefSeq lists it as uncharacterized. The record is from RefSeq and is a predicted model, not a curated record. Lineage: Eukaryota; Metazoa; Arthropoda; Arachnida; Ixodida; Ixodidae.